RNAcentral lists this ribosomal RNA (253 nucleotides) under uncultured bacterium. Its description in RNAcentral is "partial 16S ribosomal RNA". It matches the Rfam family "Bacterial small subunit ribosomal RNA", at positions 524 to 776 of the family's 1533-position model. The record is from RNAcentral.
UACGGAGGAUGCAAGCGUUAUCCGGAUUCAUUGGGUUUAAAGGGUCCGUAGGCGGACUUUUAAGUCAGAGGUGAAAGCCUACAGCUCAACUGUAGAAUUGCCUUUGAUACUGGAAGUCUUGAGUACAAUUGAAGUGGGCGGAAUACGUCAUGUAGCGGUGAAAUGCAUAGAUAUGACGUAGAACACCGAUUGCGAAGGCAGCUCACUAAGUUGUAACUGACGCUGAGGGACGAAAGCGUGGGGAGCAAACAGG